UGAACGCUGGCGGCAUGCCUUACACAUGCAAGUCGAACGGCAGCACGGAGCUUGCUCUGGUGGCGAGUGGCGAACGGGUGAGUAAUAUAUCGGAACGUACCCUAGAGUGGGGGAUAACGUAGCGAAAGUUACGCUAAUACCGCAUACGAUCUACGGAUGAAAGUGGGGGAUCGCAAGACCUCAUGCUCGUGGAGCGGCCGAUAUCUGAUUAGCUAGUUGGCGGGGUAAAAGCCCACCAAGGCAUCGAUCAGUAGCUGGUCUGAGAGGACGACCAGCCACACUGGAACUGAGACACGGUCCAGACUCCUACGGGAGGCAGCAGUGGGGAAUUUUGGACAAUGGGCGCAAGCCUGAUCCAGCAAUGCCGCGUGAGUGAAGAAGGCCUUCGGGUUGUAAAGCUCUUUUGUCAGGGAAGAAACGGUGGUCUCUAAUACAGGCUGCUAAUGACGGUACCUGAAGAAUAAGCACCGGCUAACUACGUGCCAGCAGCCGCGGUAAUACGUAGGGUGCAAGCGUUAAUCGGAAUUACUGGGCGUAAAGCGUGCGCAGGCGGUUUUGUAAGUCUGUCGUGAAAUCCCCGGGCUCAACCUGGGAAUGGCGAUGGAGACUGCAAGGCUAGAGUUUGGCAGAGGGGGGUAGAAUUCCACGUGUAGCAGUGAAAUGCGUAGAUAUGUGGAGGAACACCGAUGGCGAAGGCAGCCCCCUGGGUCAAGACUGACGCUCAUGCACGAAAGCGUGGGGAGCAAACAGGAUUAGAUACCCUGGUAGUCCACGCCCUAAACGAUGUCUACUAGUUGUCGGGUCUUAAUUGACUUGGUAACGCAGCUAACGCGUGAAGUAGACCGCCUGGGGAGUACGGUCGCAAGAUUAAAACUCAAAGGAAUUGACGGGGACCCGCACAAGCGGUGGAUGAUGUGGAUUAAUUCGAUGCAACGCGAAAAACCUUACCUGCUCUUGACAUGUACGGAAGACUUCAGAGAUGAGGUUGUGCCUUCGGGAACCGUAACACAGGUGCUGCAUGGCUGUCGUCAGCUCGUGUCGUGAGAUGUUGUCUUAAGUGACGCAACGAGCGCAACCCUUGCCACUAGUUGCCAUCAUUAAGUUGGGCACUUUAGUAGGACUGCCGGUAAAAUGCCGGAGGAAGGUGGGGAUGACGUCAAGUCCUCAUGGCCCUUAUGAGCAGGGCUUCACACGUCAUACAAUGGUAGGUACAAACGGACGCAAUACCGCGAGGUGGAGCAAAUCCGAGAAAGCCUAUCGUAGUCCGGAUUGUAGUCUGCAACUCGACUACAUGAAGUCGGAAUCGCUAGUAAUCGCAGAUCAGCAUGCUGCGGUGAAUACGUUCCCGGGUCUUGUACACACCGCCCGUCACACCAUGGGAGUGGAGGAUACCAGAAGUAGUUAGGCUAACCGCAAGGAGGCCGAUUACCACGGUAUGUUUCAUGACUGGGGUGA
Molecule: ribosomal RNA, 1455 nt
Filed under: uncultured bacterium
Lineage: Bacteria
Description: 16S ribosomal RNA
Rfam family: Bacterial small subunit ribosomal RNA
Source: RNAcentral